AGGUUAUAUUGGAUUAAGGUGGGUUUUGAAAACCCACUAUGAGUGUUCGAUUCACUUAUGAUCUU
Molecule: transfer RNA, 65 nt
Filed under: Pteroctopus tetracirrhus
Lineage: Eukaryota; Metazoa; Mollusca; Cephalopoda; Octopoda; Octopodidae
Description: tRNA-Ser
Source: RNAcentral